GCCCCUUUGGCUAAGCGGUAUAGCGUGUCACUAGUACUUCACUUGACAUGACAAGGUGACUGGUUCGACUCCAGUAAGGGGCA
Molecule: non-coding RNA, 83 nt
Organism: Cladobotryum mycophilum
Lineage: Eukaryota; Fungi; Ascomycota; Sordariomycetes; Hypocreales; Hypocreaceae
Source: the annotation of a GenBank genome assembly